Molecule: transfer RNA, 74 nt
Filed under: Colletotrichum liriopes
Lineage: Eukaryota; Fungi; Ascomycota; Sordariomycetes; Glomerellales; Glomerellaceae
Description: tRNA-Lys
Rfam family: tRNA
About the family: Transfer RNA (tRNA) molecules are approximately 80 nucleotides in length.
Source: RNAcentral
GCCUUGCUAGCUCAAUCGGUAGAGCGUGAGACUCUUAAUCUCAAGGUUGCGGGUUCGACCCCGCGUGAGGCUCA